CUCUGCGUUAUUAAUAGCCCGAGGGCACUGGCUGAGAUAGAGACCCAGCAAGGACGGUGGGAAACUGACCAGAUAAGUCCUGGAGUCCCCGUCAACACUGUCACUGCCACCUGAUGAGUCCACUUAGGCAAGGACAGAGCAGUCCCCCUUUGACCUCAGGAAAAGUCCCAGUUGGUCAUGGACCUUGGAGCCCUCAGUGCCAGACAUGGACGGCUCCUCGGUGAGCUCAGACAAGGUCCCUGCCCGAGUGGGGCAGCUGCUGGGGUGUCAGGUCACCAGAGACUAGCGAGCUGCACAGGACCCUAGAGGUCACCUUGACUUCGUCACUUUGACUUCUCCAACCCAGUCCUCCAGAGAGGGAGCCUCGGAGGGACAGCCCCUCUCUGGCAGUCACGCAGGAAGUAGCAAUCUGCUGGAGAACGGAGCUGGGCUUCUCCUCCCCAAACUGCCAGACCCUCCCGGGGCACCGGGGAGCAGCGGGUGCCGGGUCUGGAGAGGCUGGGAAGGAGAGCGGGAGGCGCCGGCUGCCUCUUCCCCUCCCGGCAACACCACUGAGCACAGAAGUGCGGGUACCAGGGGCGGCGCCCCUCUUUUGCUUUGAGCGGCUUCUACCAGGGGGAGCAGGGGGAAGGAGACAAGCUCUCUCUCUCCUCCUGUGGCUCCAACGAUUUCUGGGGUUUAGCACCUGGCACUCGGAGGAAGACAGCAAGGCAAAACGGAGGCUGCAGGUCUGGGUGCUUUGGAUGUGCUCAGAGGACCCCAGAGGUGGCGGCGGAACGUGAGACAGAGUGACAAACAGAAGGUGCAGCUGGCUCCUGGGCUCCCCCUCCCUGCUCCUCUGGGACUCUGGGGUUCUGAGGCCAUCUCCCCAGCCCCCUCUGGCUGGGGCCCCAGAUUCAGAGCCCUACCGGCCCCUCCAGCACACACACACCUCAUUCUGGGGGCGUCUCCAAAGGAUCCAUCCCAAGCACAGUCAGGGGGCCAGUUCCUGCAGGACAGCAGCCUGCGGCCACCAAGCCCAGCUCAGAAGGAGCAGCUGGGGGCCACACCGAGGUGGGUUUGCCUGCGAGGUGCCCCAUGGUGCCGGGUCUUCCUGGGGGCUUCAAACCUGCUCCCCUCCCCACCUUCCCUGACACCCCCGGCUGGGGUGUGGGCGUGGCACUGGUCUGGGGCCGGGCAGGGGCACUUACGGCAGCUGGGAGGUCUUGAGGCUGUUGUAUUUCUGCAUGACCCCCUGGAACAAGCCCAUGGGGGGCCGGGCCGGGGGGUUCUCGGUCGGCGCUGAGGACCUGGAGGGAGCAGAGCAGGAAUGAAAGAGCGAAAAGUAUUCUGCAUAGGAGAAGCGGGUCAUGGCCGGAGGCAGGACAGGACGGAGGGAGAGGCUGAGUGACAGACAGACACAGGGCCCUGAACCAAAGCAGAUGGCCGGGUCCUCUCUGUGUGCUGGACACAGCUGCUGUGUCUCUGGAUUAUUUUUGGCCCUUGGAGGAAGCCCUGGGAGAUUUAAAUGACCAUAUAAGACAACAAUGAGGUUAACCUCACCCACUCCCGCCACCCCCUCCCCAGCCAACCAGCGGCAGAUAUGAAGCAAGGUGACGUUCUUCACCGGGAGGAGGUGACAAGUGGUCAGUGCAAGUCCUAGGUUGAAAGGGGCUCAGGGAGCAGGCCAGGCGGAUCCCCAUGGAGCUGGACAAGAGAUUCACGGGCAAACAGGGGGGCAGGGAGCCCACGCUGAGAAUCAGACCAGGUGUGCCCCUCACCCCGACCUUGUGGGCUCAUCCGGCAAAGACCAUGCCCAGGGUCAGGAGCUAGACGUCCAGAGGCUACAGGAGGAAGGUGCACACAGGGGAAGGUCAUUGGGGCUGGGCCGGGAGGCAGAUGAACAGGUUCAACCCUGGGCACCGUAGCCACAGAAGCUGGGACUGGAUCAUCUUCUCUGUGCCUUAUUUCCCCGCUAAUAAAGUAGCGCAAGAGUAACCCCUGUCUGGAGGACUGGCGAGGCCUGCCCUGGUGACCUGUGUGAAGUACAGGGGACGGGGCUCCCCCGGACAGCCAUUCACUUGACCAUUAUGUCACCUCUCAGAGCCUCGGUUCCCCACCACACUGGGCUGUCACAAGGGCAGGAAGGAGGUGUGGCAGCCACUCCAUGACCCGGGUUGGCCUGGGAUUGUGAGAAGGGGGUAGGGGGUCCCUGAUCACCCCUCCUGGGGGUCAGCCCUGACACCCUGGGUACCCAGCAGGGACACCUUCCUGUCUGAACACCUGGGGAAAGGGCUGUCUAUGGGACUGGGGAGGACAUCACUCCAUGAAUGGCUCCCCAUGGGCCACAGUGAUGGUGACCUCCGGAAGGGCCCAUGCUCCCCGAGGCCAGGCUAGAACCUGCAGAUUCCCUGGGCCUCUGAGCAGGGACAGGCCUUGGUGCCAGGGAGGCGGCCUGCUGGGGGUCUGCAGACCCUCCUCGUCCCGUCAUUCCUCUACCUCCUCCUCUGCCUCCUCCCAUCACUCCCACCCGCCGCACAGGCUGGGCAGGACACAUGCCAGGUUCACUCACUAACCCCAAAGGUGGGUACCAAGCGGCUGCUUCCACAGACAAGGGAGCCAAGGCUCUGAGAGUGUGGGUUACUGGCUGGGGUCACGCACAGCAGGUAGGUGGACAGAGCCAGGCUCAGGUGGGCCUGCCCUUCCCUGCCUCCCCUCCCCUGCUCCGUGGCUGCACUAACAGGCCUGGGCUGUGAAUGGGGCUCCACGGCUCUCUGUGCCUCAGUGGCAGAAUGAAGGGUGGAGCUGAAGCGCCAGAUGGAGGCUUCCUGUGCCCGCAGGACAGCAGAGAAGCUCAGUGUGUCACGCAAACCCAGAGCCACCAUCCCAGGCCAGGACCUGCAAGUUCCGGCCUGGUCCUCCCCCCACAGGGCCCUAGGGCUACUGGCCUGGAGUCGCCUGAACUUGCUGCAGACCUAGGCAGGUGACAGAGCCCUGACCCAGGCCACUUCUGCAUUCAGCAGCCCUGUGGUCUUGACAAAGCCCUGGGCUCCCUGGGUGUGCUUUCGAUUACUAAAAUGUUCUCAGCAGGAUGAGAAGCACUGAUAAAACCCUGCCACGCUAUCCUAACACUGGGACCUCUGUCUCCCUAUAACAACAGCAAGGAGAGUGGCAGCAGCGGGGAGUUGGGGUGAUGGAGGUUCUGCCUCACGGUCUCUGAUGGAGGCAGAGGUGCCUUGUUCCCGUUCUGCAGACAGGAAACCAUAAACUGAGUCCAAUUCAACAACAGCUUCCCAGCUCUGGCUUGGUCCCAAGCCUUGUGCCUGGGCUAAGUAGACAGAUCACUAAGUCACAUCUUUCUGUGGAUCCUCGAGACGAUCAGAGGCCAGCGGGGUGGAGACCAGGACAGACACAGCCACCGCACCGCAGGAGGGAUCAAGACAGGAAGGCUUUUUUGGGAAGUACUAAAACUGGGGGGCCAGGCAGGAUGGCUACCCAGAGCCCACAGACCUGUGAAUCUCAGACUGGAUGGGAGUCCAGGCCCCCAGUCGAGUUUCGUGCUCUUUUGGGCCAGGACGGGAGGCCCCGCUUCCCCCCCAGGGCAGGGGAAUUCCCAGCAGAGCUAACCGCAGGCUGAGUCAUCAAGGGUGAGAGGAGCCUGGCCUGGGCGGCGGGAUGUGGCUGCAGGUCGUGCCCUGGAAGAGGCCCAGGUGGGACCCUGUCUCCCUCCGACACUGAGCAAGCAGCAUGGCUGCAGUCUCCCUGCUGGGUCCCCAUGUGCCCCUGGGUCUUUACCCUCCAGGCCUCUGGCAGGGACCACUCAGGUGCGGGGCAGACCCGGCCCAUCGCUAGCACACAGCAAGGCAGUGGUUUGGCUGGAGUGGUUGGCGGCUGUGCACGUAUCAGCCCAAGCAAGUUCCUGCUUCAGAUUUUCCUCCUUUUUCUUAGAAAUGUAGCCUUAAAUAAAAUGAAGAAGUUUAAAGACCGCAAAGACCCAGCGUCCUGGGCCCUCUGAGUGGUCUCUUCAUGGACUUGCUUCCUGGAACGUGGACCCUGCUCACCCUGCAUGUUGGGAGCGAGGUCGGCCUCUCAGGGAGCCCUGGCGACCCGAGUUUGACAAGUGACUCCAGCACAUGUUUCAAACCUUGUCCCGCCACACUGUGGUAGGGCAGAAGCCACCUGGGAAAUGACUUUGAAAGGGAGCAUCUAUCUUGGGAGGGGGUGCUGACCCGACUUUCUUUUCUAGGAUCCCAGAGACUCCGUUCCUAUAAUUAUCACAAGAUGAUAACUACAGGCCUAAGAAUCCUUA
This is a long non-coding RNA of Marmota monax (woodchuck), 4288 nucleotides long. RefSeq lists it as uncharacterized. NCBI's taxonomy places the organism in Eukaryota, Metazoa, Chordata, Mammalia, Rodentia, Sciuridae. The transcript is spliced from 2 exons. The record is from RefSeq and is a predicted model, not a curated record.